RNAcentral lists this ribosomal RNA (763 nucleotides) under Microbacterium foliorum. RNAcentral's name for it is "bacterial SSU rRNA". It matches the Rfam family "Bacterial small subunit ribosomal RNA", at positions 438 to 1212 of the family's 1533-position model. Lineage: Bacteria; Bacillati; Actinomycetota; Actinomycetes; Micrococcales; Microbacteriaceae. The record is from RNAcentral.
AGCAGGGAAGAAGCGAAAGUGACGGUACCUGCAGAAAAAGCGCGGGCUAACUACGUGCCAGCAGCCGCGGUAAUACGUAGGGCGCAAGCGUUAUCCGGAAUUAUUGGGCGUAAAGAGCUCGUAGGCGGUUUGUCGCGUCUGCUGUGAAAUCCGGAGGCUCAACCUCCGGCCUGCAGUGGGUACGGGCAGACUAGAGUGCGGUAGGGGAGAUUGGAAUUCCUGGUGUAGCGGUGGAAUGCGCAGAUAUCAGGAGGAACACCGAUGGCGAAGGCAGAUCUCUGGGCCGUAACUGACGCUGAGGAGCGAAAGGGUGGGGAGCAAACAGGCUUAGAUACCCUGGUAGUCCACCCCGUAAACGUUGGGAACUAGUUGUGGGGUCCAUUCCACGGAUUCCGUGACGCAGCUAACGCAUUAAGUUCCCCGCCUGGGGAGUACGGCCGCAAGGCUAAAACUCAAAGGAAUUGACGGGGACCCGCACAAGCGGCGGAGCAUGCGGAUUAAUUCGAUGCAACGCGAAGAACCUUACCAAGGCUUGACAUAUACGAGAACGGGCCAGAAAUGGUCAACUCUUUGGACACUCGUAAACAGGUGGUGCAUGGUUGUCGUCAGCUCGUGUCGUGAGAUGUUGGGUUAAGUCCCGCAACGAGCGCAACCCUCGUUCUAUGUUGCCAGCACGUAAUGGUGGGAACUCAUGGGAUACUGCCGGGGUCAACUCGGAGGAAGGUGGGGAUGACGUCAAAUCAUCAUGCCCCUUAUGUCUUGG